Molecule: ribosomal RNA, 455 nt
Filed under: uncultured bacterium
Lineage: Bacteria
Description: bacterial SSU rRNA
Rfam family: Bacterial small subunit ribosomal RNA
Source: RNAcentral
AUUGAACGCUGGCGGCAUGCUUUACACAUGCAAGUCGAACGGCAGCACGGGUGCUUGCACCUGGUGGCGAGUGGCGAACGGGUGAGUAAUGCAUCGGAACGUGCCCAUGAGUGGGGGAUAGCCCGGCGAAAGCCGGAUUAAUACCGCAUACGCCCUUAGGGGGAAAGCGGGGGAUCUUCGGACCUCGCGCUAUUGGAGCGGCCGAUGUCGGAUUAGCUAGUAGGUGAGGUAAAGGCUCACCUAGGCGACGAUCCGUAGCUGGUCUGAGAGGAUGAUCAGCCACACUGGGACUGAGACACGGCCCAGACUCCUACGGGAGGCAGCAGUGGGGAAUUUUGGACAAUGGGCGCAAGCCUGAUCCAGCCAUGCCGCGUGAGUGAAGAAGGCCUCGGUUGUAAGCUCUUUCAGGUGGAAGAAAUAGACGCUGUUAAUAGUAUGGCGUUGAUGACGGUACC